This is a long non-coding RNA of Lynx canadensis (Canada lynx), 659 nucleotides long. RefSeq lists it as uncharacterized. The record is from RefSeq and is a predicted model, not a curated record. The transcript has 3 exons. Lineage: Eukaryota; Metazoa; Chordata; Mammalia; Carnivora; Felidae.
UGAAUACUUCAGAAGGGAGUGGUUUGAUGUGAAGGGUUUUUUUUUUUUUUUUUUCCCCUUCAGGCAUUGAAAAGGAAAAGAUGAAAUAUAUGUUUAUAUAUAACUGUGUUUCUCCAUACCUCACUGAAGUCAAAACGCAUUUAAUUGUUGUACCUCCCUUCCUCCGUGAUCUCCGACACUGGUAAAGUGGAAGGAACUCGGGUACCCUGCCACAGAAAAGUACUGGGACUGAGCAAGAGAAAGAGGUCUCCGUGGCCACUUUUCCAAAGCUUCCUCACAUUUGCCACACCUCCUCCACCUUCCACUCCGGCAGGAGACCUUAUCAGCUCUCUCCAGGAGACAGAACAUCAGAGAGAGCUCCCCGGAGACAUGGGCACGAAGCCUGUGUAUUUCGCCGCAUCCUCUUUGUCCUACUGGACCACUCUCGCUUUCCAGGUCCUCUGAAGCCACUGCCACCAGACUAUCCACCGCCUCCUGGUUGCCGACAGAGAGGCUGUUUCUGAGUUCUUAACUUGCUACGCCCUUCUGGAAAUGGUCUUUGCUUGCCUUCUGUGAUCUCACAUCUGCCUCUACUUCGAUUGCUGGCUUUUUUAAAAACAAUUUUUCUUUAAUGUUUAUUUUUGAGAGAGAGAGAGAGUGUGUGAGUAGGGGAGCAUCAG